GAUGAAGAACGUAGCGAAAUGCGAUACUUGGUGUGAAUUGCAGAAUCCCGUGAACCGUCGAGUCUUUGAACGCAAGUUGCGCCCGAAGCCAUUAGGCCGAGGGCACGCCUGCCUGGGCGUCACACGUCGUUGCCCCCCCAUCUACUCCUUCGGGAUUGCGGGGGGCGGAUGAUGGCCUCUCGUGCGCCUCGUCGCGCGGUUGGCCUAAAUGCCAAGUCCUCGGCGACGCACGCCACGACAAUCGGUGGUUGCGAAACCUCGGUUGCCUGUCGUGUGCGGUCGUCGCGCAUCGAGGGCUCGAAAAAAUUGCCGGGCUUCGGCUCGACUUUCAACGCGACCCCAGGUCAGGCGGGGUUACCCGCUGAAUUUAAGCAUAUCAAUAAGCGGAGGA
RNAcentral lists this unclassified non-coding RNA (391 nucleotides) under soil metagenome. Its description in RNAcentral is "partial contains 5.8S ribosomal RNA, internal transcribed spacer 2, and large subunit ribosomal RNA". The stretch from base 1 to 122 matches the Rfam family "5.8S ribosomal RNA", at positions 35 to 154 of the family's 154-position model. The record is from RNAcentral.